CAGUCGCCGCGGUAAUACGUAGGUGGCAAGCGUUGUCCGGAAUUAUUGGGCGUAAAGGGCUCGCAGGCGGCUUCUUAAGUCUGAUGUGAAAGCCCCCGGCUCAACCGGGGAGGGUCAUUGGAAACUGGGAAACUUGAGUGCAGAAGAGAAGGGUGGAAUUCCACGUGUAGCGGUGAAAUGCGUAGAGAUGUGGAGGAACACCAGUGGUGAAGGCGACUCUCUGGUCUGUAACUGACGCUGAGGAGCGAAAGCGUGGGGAGCGAACAGGAUUAGAUACCCCCGUAGUCCCUGUCUCUUAUAC
RNAcentral lists this ribosomal RNA (301 nucleotides) under uncultured bacterium. Its description in RNAcentral is "partial 16S ribosomal RNA". It matches the Rfam family "Bacterial small subunit ribosomal RNA", at positions 509 to 807 of the family's 1533-position model. The record is from RNAcentral.